CGCUGGCGGCGUGCUUAACACAUGCAAGUCGAACGGGAUCCAUCAAGCUUGCUUGGUGGUGAGAGUGGCGAACGGGUGAGUAAUGCGUGACCGACCUGCCCCAUGCUCCGGAAUAGCUCCUGGAAACGGGUGGUAAUGCCGGAUGUUCCACAUGAUCGCAUGUGAUUGUGGGAAAGAUUCUAUCGGCGUGGGAUGGGGUCGCGUCCUAUCAGCUUGUUGGUGAGGUAACGGCUCACCAAGGCUUCGACGGGUAGCCGGCCUGAGAGGGCGACCGGCCACAUUGGGACUGAGAUACGGCCCAGACUCCUACGGGAGGCAGCAGUGGGGAAUAUUGCACAAUGGGCGCAAGCCUGAUGCAGCGACGCCGCGUGAGGGAUGGAGGCCUUCGGGUUGUAAACCUCUUUUGUUUGGGAGCAAGCCUUCGGGUGAGUGUACCUUUCGAAUAAGCGCCGGCUAACUACGUGCCAGCAGCCGCGG
Molecule: ribosomal RNA, 477 nt
Filed under: Bifidobacterium bifidum
Lineage: Bacteria; Bacillati; Actinomycetota; Actinomycetes; Bifidobacteriales; Bifidobacteriaceae
Description: bacterial SSU rRNA
Rfam family: Bacterial small subunit ribosomal RNA
Source: RNAcentral